RNAcentral lists this long non-coding RNA (461 nucleotides) under Elaeis guineensis (African oil palm). RNAcentral describes it as "long non-coding RNA (EGUI_LNC008672)". The record is from RNAcentral. Lineage: Eukaryota; Viridiplantae; Streptophyta; Magnoliopsida; Arecales; Arecaceae.
AUAAUUCAUCCCUUUUGACCCCUGUGUUUAGGACGACUCAGGGUUAAACUAUCAACCCUGAUGAAAUCAUCCGAAUCGUGCUCAACUCAAUUAGUCCUGUGACUCCUCACUAGGACUACCCUGGUCAAGGUUUUGCUAAAUUGAAACAUGACUGUACACAGCUCCUAAAUUAGAGUGGUCAAUCCCAUCUUGACACGCACCGACAAGUCAAGUACUUGACUACACCCAGCAGCCUUCCGUCACUGAAUUAGAAAUUCAGGUAGUCCAGUUCCUAAGUGCAGUGAGUUGCUUGCAAGUCACCGUGGCGGUCUCAGGUCGGAGGGACAUUUAUACCCAUAUCUCAUCGGAGCAAAUCUUGACAGCAGAAAUAGCUCCGGAGUCGGUCACGUUCAGUGCAGAUGUACCAUUACAUCUCACCUGUAUGCCAUACCAGUGUCUCCACACUCCUUGGUUAUGAGGAC